CACCGCCUGGGGAGUACGACCGCAAGGUUAAAACUCAAAUGAAUUGACGGGGACCCGCACAAGUAGUGGAGCAUGUGGUUUAAUUCGAAGAUACGCGCAGAACCUUACCAACACUUGACAUGUUCGUCGCGACUCUAAGAGAUUAAAGUUUUCGGUUCGGCCGGACGAAACACAGGUGCUGCAUGGCUGUCGUCAGCUCGUGUCGUGAGAUGUUGGGUUAAGUCCCGCAACGAGCGCAACCCUCACUUUUAGUUGCCAUCAUUAAGUUGGGCACUCUGAAAGAACUGCCAGUGAUAAGCUGGAGGAAGGUGGGGAUGACGUCAAGUCCUCAUGGCCCUUACGUGUUGGGCUACACACGUGCUACAAUGGUAUCUACAACAGGAAGCAAGACUGCGACGUCAAGCAAAUCCUAAAAAGAUACCUCAGUUCGGAUUGCACUCUGCAACUCGAGUGCAUGAAGCUGGAAUUACUAGUAAUCGUGGAUCAGCGUGCCACGGUGAAUGCGUUCCCGGGUCUUGUACACACCGCCCGUCACACCACGGGAGUUGGUUCUACCUUAAGGUAAGGUUUCAAACCCUUGACCACGGUAUAGUCAGCGACUGGGGUGAAGUCGUAACAAGGUAGCCGUAGGGGAACCUGCGGCUGGAUUACCUCCUUUCUAAGGAUGAGUAAAAAAUUUUUUUUACUCUAAAUAAUAUACAGGUUAAUGUUGACCGUCCUCAUUUCUCUUCUUAAAAGCAGUGUUUCUCUUGCAUGGGGGCCGGUAGCUCAGUUGGUUAGAGCACACCCUUGAUAAGGGUGGGGUCGAAAGUUCGAGUCUUUCUCGGCCCACCAAUUUUAAGUUCAUGGGGGAUUAGCUCAGCUGGGAGAGCGCCUGAUUUGCAUUCAGGAGGUCAGCGGUUCGAUCCCGCUAUCCUCCACCAGAGACACUUAGUUAUAAAAAUUGUGAAUAAAAAUAAUAAUUAAUAUCAAUAUCUAUAUCCGAACAUUAGUAAUGUUAUUAGCUAAUGUUCAAAUAAAAAUUUGAUUCAACACAGAAUUUUUUCUG
Molecule: small RNA, 1048 nt
Filed under: uncultured Pelagibacterales bacterium
Lineage: Bacteria; Pseudomonadati; Pseudomonadota; Alphaproteobacteria; Candidatus Pelagibacterales
Description: bacterial SSU rRNA
Rfam family: Bacterial small subunit ribosomal RNA (bases 1-658)
Source: RNAcentral